UACGAAGGGGGCUAGCGUUGCUCGGAAUUACUGGGCGUAAAGGGCGCGUAGGCGGCCCACAUAGUCAGGCGUGAAAUUCCUGGGCUCAACCUGGGGGCUGCGCUUGAUACGUGUGGGCUUGAGGACAGGAGAGGCUCGUGGAAUUCCCAGUGUAGAGGUGAAAUUCGUAGAUAUUGGGAAGAACACCGGUGGCGAAGGCGGCGAGCUGGCCUGUAACUGACGCUGAGGCGCGACAGCGUGGGGAGCAAACAGG
Molecule: ribosomal RNA, 253 nt
Filed under: uncultured bacterium
Lineage: Bacteria
Description: partial 16S ribosomal RNA
Rfam family: Bacterial small subunit ribosomal RNA
Source: RNAcentral